GUUUUAUUUCAUUCUAUUUUAGAAUAUUUCUAUUUUACAUCCAAGCAGUUCAUGCCCAUAGUUUAAAAAGUUUAAAAAGGUACUUUCCCUGCCCUUCCCACCUGACUAGCAACCAGGGCUCCCACCUGACUAGCAACCAGGGCACCCACCUGGAUGAAAGGCAGCCACUUCAACUCUUCCCUGCCUCCCCAUGGCAUUCUCACAUUGCUGUUCUUGACUUUUCACUUUUAGAUAGUGCUACAGUCUGAGUGGUUAUGUUCUCCUAAAAUUCAUAUGUCAGAACUCUAAUCCUUAAGAGAUGGUAUUAGGAGGUGGGGCCUUUGAGAGGUGGUUAGGUCAUGGGUUUGGAGCCCUCACGAGUGGGAUCAGCACCUUUAAAGAAAGCAUCUUUGGGAGGCCAAGGUGGGCAGAUCAUUUGAGGUCAGGAGUUUGAGGCCAGCCUGGCCAACAUGGUGAAACCCCAUCUCUACUAAAAAAAUACAAAAAUUAGCUGGGUGUGGUGGCACAUGCUUGUAAUCCCAGCUACUCGGGAGGCUGAGGUAGGAGAAUUGCUUGAACCUGGGAGGUGGAGGCUGCAGUGAGCCGAGAUCGCACCAUCCCACUCCAGCCUAGGCGACAGAGUGAGACUCUGUCUCAAAACAAACAAACAAACAAAAAAAAACCCAAGGGAGACCCCUCACUCCUUCUACCAUGUGAGGUCACAGCAAGAAGGCGCCAUCUACAAAUCAGAAGGCAGGCUCUCACCAGACAACAAAUCUGCCAGUGCUUUGAUCUUACACUCCCCCCUCCAAGAACUGGGAGAAGGAGAUUUCUGUUGCCUAUAAGCCACACUGUGUACAGGAUUUUGCUACAGUAGCCCAGGUGAACUAAGACAGAUAGUAUCUAUUAACUCUAUCCUAUAGAAAUUGAGGAUUUCACUUCCUCAUAUACCUCCAUACUGCCUGGCACAGACAUACACAUGGACACACACAUGCACACACACGUGUGCACACAUAUGUGGACACACACAUUCACGCGCUCUCAUUUUCUCUAAUGAUGUGAUAAACUAGGGCUGUAUCAGCAUCUAGAGGUUGCCUUACUAUGCCUGUGUGACCAUAUUAACAUUCUCAGCUGAUUUAUAUAACAUUUGUUUUCUUACUCAACUGUUUUUAUUUGUCCUAGAGUUAAUAAUUAUCUAUAUCUUUUUCUUGUUCACUUUCCUAUGUACUUAUCACAAUUGUAUCCUAAAACUCUGCCAGAAGUAGAAAUCUCCUUUCGAGGCAUUCAAACGUAUCUACUAUCAGUUUUAUUUUUAUCUUGGAGACAUCGUUCUAGAACCCUAGCCUCGCUGCUGGCCUUGUUGCCUUCUAGAGUCGCUGCUUCCUUUUUGUCAAUCUCAGGAUGAGAACAUGUUUGGGGGCCAUUAUUCUGCCUACCAUGAUGAAAUUUAUUCUGCUUUUAGCUAGACUGAAAUGUUCAAAUCAACCAACGACAUUUUUCUCCCAGUUCCCCCUCUCUUUGCCAACCAGUAACUCUUUGGAUAUGUAGCUACAAGAAUGCAGCCUUGUUUUCUGGGUCAGAAAGCACUUCCUCUCUCUUUUUAGGAGUCAGAAAUUCAUGUUCUCAUUUUACAGACAGAAAAAUAGAGGCCCAGAGAAUAUGAAUAUUUUGCUGAAAAUCCUAGAGAGCAAAGUUCAGUCUCAUUUCCAAGACUGAUCUUUGUCUUCCACAUGUGGCAUCCAUGACGUUGUUUUCCAGUUGUUCCUGGAUAAUGUGAUAGGCGAGUUACUACAUCAGCAUAAAGCAUUUCCACAUGAUUCCUUGUAGAAGUGCCACCAAAGCAUGUUUCCAGUGCAGAUGGUUAUUCUUCAUUUACCACUUUUACUUUCACAAUUUACUUUGUAAAAUGGGCAUUUUACUCCUAAAUAAGAGAGAAUCAUGUGGUCCUAUUACUUUUAUAGCCAUAAAUAUUGGAAGCCUGAAACAAAAUUUCCAUGUCUUCCACCCACCGCCUCCCUGCCUAGCUUUAGGCUGUGUCGGUGACAGCCAUGACAUCUCAGAAUGGAGCCUGUAGGGGCUGGGUCAGAGCCAUUUAUGGAACAAUGCUCUUCCCUUUGUUUUCAGCGAGCUAGUUGUAAACACAUUUCAGACCUCUUGCUUUCUCUCAAUUCUUCUGCAGUUCACGUUUGAGAUUGCGAGAUGCUAUUUCUUUUGACAACAAUAAAAGCUUCUCCGUUCAUGGUUGGGCCCCAGCUUUGACAGACUAGAAAUGCCACCCAUGUGGGCUCCACAGCUUCCUUACAAGGAAAAGAGUGAGCUGGGGUGACCUGCGCUAGUGAAACCGGCCCUUGGUCCUGAUAUCCAAAGCUCACCUGUCCUGCCUCCGGCUCUGGAAAUGUUUUGUCUUGUGUAUUUUUCAAGACAGUGAAAGAAGACACAGUUUCAUGUUCGAGAAACUGAAGUUCUCAGAGAUUCAGUAACUUGCCUGAAGUUACUAAUAAGUGGUCAAGCUGCAGUUUAAACCUAAACCCAUCGAAGUGCAUGUUGCUUCCAGCUGGGACACCCAGCCCACUUAGGGAUGGCUGGAAUCCUAAGUCCUUCUGUGUCAUAUCUGAGUGUCGACGGAAGUAGCAGAUGCCCAUCCUCAUGGUGAGAACCUUUUCAGACACGGGGUUGGUGACCUGUCCCCAAAGGUCAGUGCAGUGGUCCUGUGUGGGGUGCAGUGUAGGGUAGGGCUCAGCAGGCAAGGUCUUCAAGCCUGCACAGCCAGCCCCAAGCUCUGGAUCUCUGAUUAUUAUGGAAUUGGAUGGGAACAUGAUUCUAACAUAACCCAAGUGCCGAAAGAGAGCAAAUACUCAAAUGGGAAAGCACUGAUGAAUGAAGGUGGAGCUUACCCAAGUUCAAAUAGCUUAACAUUUGCAGGAUUCUCAUAGGAUCUUUACCCUAUGGCUUUUUCCCCCCAGAAAUUUCAAGAAAGGACCAUUAUUAGUGAUGGGAGGAAGGCACCUUGAUACUACUUUCUAACAUCCUUAAAGAAAAACCCCUGGAUGUUCUGAUAUAUUUAAGAAGAAAUAAGAGAUAGGAAGAUAAAUCAGAAGUCCAAAACCCUAGAGUUCUAAGGCCUGCUCUUUCAUUAACUAACUAUAUGACUGGUGGCAACUCAUGCUCCAUGCCUCAGUUUACCCAUAUUUAAAAUAAAAGAUUUGGGCUGGAUCAUUUUUGGUAAAUGCUCAAACUUUAAAAUAUUAUAAGCCAAUAAUGGAACAAAACUAAGUUUCUUCUGAUAAAUGUGUUUCUUUCUCCUGGGCUCCUUCUUCUGUCCUGUAAAAACUGCCCUGACCACCUCCUUUCAAAAGAGUAUUUCCUGUGCUGUGGUGAAACCUCUGUCUUCUUUUCCAAGGCCACAUGCUUCUGCCCACACUAACUUCCCAAGCACUUUCAGGCAUCAGUUCAUUUUCCUCAUAUCACCUACCACAACUUGUCAUUAUAUAUUUAUAGAUUUGUUUGUUUUAUAGAGACUGUUUCUCCUAUGAGAUUGCAAGUUCCAUGAGAACAGCUACUAUGCCUGCUUUGUUUACCAACGCAUAUUCACUGUCCAGCAUUGUGUGUGGAACAUAAAAGGCUCUUGGUUAAUGCCUGCUGAAUAAAUGAAUCUGUCAUCUUCCCUUUUUUGAUCAUUAUCAUAGGUAUCAUUUGUUAAGGGCUUACUAGGGAUCAGACAUUGAGCUGAUGCUUUGCAUGUAUUACCUCAUGAACACAUCACAACAACCUCACCUGGCAGGUUGCAUCUGUUUUGCAGAUGAAGUCACUGAGGAUCCAAGAGGUCAUGGAGCAAAUGCACUCUAGAACCUGGAUCCAAACCACAGCUGACUCACUCAGAGUCUAAGUACUGAGCCCUUGCAAAGUACUACCUUGGGUCCUCAGUGACUCUGAGCAUUAGGUCGGACAUGUAGUAGGUUCUCAGGAUAUGUGUACUGAAUUGAGUCUCUGUGUGAUGGAGCUAACAGAUGGUAAAUGGAGGUCAGUAUUUAUGACCCAUGGGGCUGAUAAUCUGAAGCUUCAAUGCCUGAGGUGGAUUCUGAAAUCUGGAGCAAGGAUUGGUAGAGUAGAAAAUCUCUUUCUAACAAUGAGAUUCAUUCUUGUGUGCGUGGAGAGUUUAACAGAGCUCCUUUCUUCCACCGUAUGAGGGUGUGACUUCAAAUUUUUCUUGAAAUGCACAUUUUUAAUUAGAAGAUUUUAUGUGGGUUGCCAAGCUUCUGAGAACUAAAAGGACACUUGUGCCUCGGGGACACUUACAGAGACUGGUCCCUCGGUAAGUGCAUAAUAAAAAAUACACAGAGAGCAACUGAAAUUAAACCCACAGGGAACCCAUUGCACUUGGUUUCAAAUACCUAAAGACUUGACAGCUACAGAAUAAAGAGAAAGAACAGAAACAAAAGUCAAUGCCAAUUUGCUUAAUUUGGGGUUCUUUUUCCUGAGAGUAUCUUUCUGAGAAUCUAGAGUUGGCAGAAAUGUUGGAGACUGUCAGGUCUAAGACCCCCUCCUGCAGAUGGGAGACUGAGGCCCGAAGAAGUUGUGGCAAGGUCAAAGCAAGGUCAAACCAAGUGAGCUAUGGGUCAGAAAGAAGAGAAGGCAUCACUGUGUGCUACAGCAGGGCCCUAGGAGAAAUUUGCUGGUGGUGAGGAAGAUGGGGAUUGGUGGGGAUUGCAAGAGUAGGGGGUGGGGCGGACAGCUCUCUAGCAAUAUGGCUUCUGCUCUGUUCAAAGCGAAAUUAGAAAUUGUUCAAACAGAAAAUGAGUAUGUCAAGAAAAUCACAUGUCAAGGAAUAUAGAGUCACUUAUUAGUGUUUGUCUCCAGAACAUAAUCUAACGGACUGUAGGAGAAAUCCCAGAUUCUCUUGGGCUCCUUUGCUGCCUCAAGCUCUCUUAUACUUGAAUCCCCCACCCUUAGACACAUUGCUGUCCCUUAAACUUGAGAGUAGCGCCAAUAAAUCUCCAAAUAGCCUGGACUGAACUGGAAUCAGAAUAAUAUUAAUGCACUUAAGGAAAGAAUGGGUCAUUGAAAAGGUGAGGGGUAGUAUCUUAGAAUAUAUAAUUCAAAGGGGAGAAUAGCCUGGUACAUUCAGCACUGCCCAGGUGAAAGGAAUACAGUAUGUGAAGGACGCUAGUAGCUCUAAUCACCAGAGGUAUAGGGUAGGAUGUAGAAGUAUUUCACAGGGAAUUUUAAUAAAAUGUUUCUCCAAGCUGGAUCUGAUUCCAUGGUUGCAAGUAAUCUUCAUAAACUUCAAUGACCAGGCCAGGUGUGGUGGCUCACACUGGUAAUCCUAGUAUUUUGGAAGGCCAAAGUGGGAGGAUCACUUGAGGUAAGGAGUUGAAGACCAGCCUCGGCAACAUAGAGAGAGCUCAUCUCUACAAAAAUUUUUUUUUAAUUAGCCAGGUGUGAUGGUACGUGCCCAUAGUCCUAGCUACUAAAGAGACUGAGGCAGGAGGACCCCCUCAAGCCCAGAAGUGAGCUACAGUGAGUUAUGAUCGUGCCACUGCACUCCAGCCUGGGUGACAGAGCGAGACCUUGUCACUAAAACAUUUAAAAAACAAAACACAACAAAACUUCAACAAUUGAUGACCUGGUGUGUGUUAUUUUUAAAAUCUUGAUUUUAAAGCUUGAUUCUAGGAAUGGGGUAUGAGCAUGUACACAGGACUGCUGAGAGCUGGUUUGAGCACAGUGAAGAAAUGAGACUUGGAGCCCCAUCAAAGGCAGACAGCUAGAAAUCUUCACAGGGGAUUUAUGCUCAAGUCCAAGUCUCCUUUCCACCCUGGCAGCUCCAGCAGCCUGUCCUUAGCUUCCACUUCCUGUGUAGUUCAUCAGCUCUGGAUGGACAUGAGUGGUCCUGUCACUGGGGAAAGAGAUCAUUCUUGCUAUAAAUACAUGGAUGGUGUGGCUUCAGUGUCCACCUCUGUGAAGUGAGUUGUUGAAACGAUAUCUUAGGAAGUCUAUGAACCUGUGAUAUGGUUUGGCUGUGCCCCCACCCAAACCCCAUCUUGAAUUCCCACGUGUGGUGGGAGGGACUCAGUGGGAGGUAAUUGAAUCAUGGGGGCAAGUCUUUCCUGUGCCGUUUUCAUGACAGCGAAUAAGUCUCACAAGAUCUGAUGGUUUUAAAAAGAAGAAUUCCCCUGCACAAGCUCCCUCUCGUUGCCUGCUGCCAUCCAUGUAAGAUGUGACUUGCUCUUCCUUGCAUCCACCAUGAUUGUGAGGCUUUCCCAGUCACGUGGAACUGUUUUUAAGGAGCAACUGGACAACCACAGAUCCUGCACAACCACGGAUCCAGGCCAACCCUAUCAUUUUGCAGAUGAAGCAACAGAAGCCCACAGGGACGAAGUGACCAGCUCAGAACCUCCAGCAGUCACUGGCCAGGCCAGGAAAAGAAUUCAGGUCUCCUGACUUCCAAAUAAGUGUCCUUUCCAUGGCAUAUGCAUAAGAUAUGGUUACAAUGGAAACUACUUUUUUUCUUAUCCCAUUAGCCAGAAAAGUUCAUCUAAGAAACAGGUGACUGAUGGGAAAGUUUGCCUACUGGAGGCAUGAGGAAAUCAAGUUACUUUAUUGUAAUUAGACAGUAGUUCUUUUCUUUGACUGAGAGGAGAGUGAAAAGUGCAAGGAGAAACAAGACAAAGAACGACUGCCUAGAAGUUACUCCAUUAUGGUUUGCUGCACUGUCCUAUCCACAAAGAUACUUGCCUGCCAUUCCUUGCCUGUGUGACUUCCAGUGAGUCACUUGACUUCUCUGGACCUUGGAAGCUCUUGUGCUCUCUGAGAGCACAGCAGAGGCCCUGUUCUGGCCAUUGGACAUCAUGAAGAUCUGUUGUCCUCCCCAGAUGGACACACCCUAGAUCAGCACCUUCUUUUCUUCCUUGUCUCAGUACUUCUUAUAGAGCCAGGAUAUCCUUAAUGUUUUGUGGGUUUUUUUUGGGGGGGGGGUGCGGGGGCGGGUGGGGAGGGUAGGUAUUUUGUGCAUUGAAUAAUUGUCUUCCCAGUUGGAUAUUUUUUGGGGGCUUUGACUGUGUCUUUUUGCUUCUUUUAACAUGUUUCUUGCUGGGUCUUGUCUCGCUUAUAAGGCAGGAACCCAGACCCCUGCAACGAGUCGCACUCUGGUAUUUCCAGAAGCCCUGGAUGGCUUUAUAUGUGCUCCCAUACAAUUAGUUCAGCCAUCUUUGUCUCUUAACACUGUUCCAGAACUCUCUGCGCAGACCAUGACAUCUUCCUGGCAUCACUGAUACUUCCACUGGGCACUGCUAUGCCCUCUUGUCACUGCCUUACCAGCUGCAGAAAAUGACUAUAGUUGCUCCCUUUAUUUUCUUUCUUUUUCUGAUGUGUGUGUAUUUCCAAUUUCCCCCCUCCCUUUCUGCUACUAUUUAUUUAGUCCCCAGGUGACUGGAUAGCUAGAUAGGAUUUUGACUGCACUGGAAAAGGAAUAAACACCACCCAGAGCUGGAAACACUGACCAUGAGACAUGGAGUCUUUCCUCCUGCGGGGAAGGGAUGGACAUUUUCAUUUGUAGAAGGGCUAGUUGUAUAAGGUAAGAGCAUGCUGCUGCUGUUAUCAUUUAAAAGUUUAAUUAUGGAAAGAAGCAUAUAUGUGGAUGUUAAAUAAUAAAAAAGGUGGAAUAUUGCUCACUCAACACCUAUCUCAAGCCUCUGAGCUUGCCUUUCUGAGCUACAGGAUAGAAAACUAAAAUUAGAUUUCCUAAUUCUUCUUCCAGCUAGGGAGCUUCCUUGAGAAAUGGUGUAGUACAAGUCCUGAAAUUAAGAUUAAAUAGCAUGGGGAGGCCUCAAAUGGCCUAAUCUCAAGUCCCUUGCCCACUCUGCUGUGGCAGAUAAGGUCCCCUAACCAAACAAGCCCUCCUUGUCAGGGAGACCAGGCCCAGUGUCUGCUUAUCCCUGAGUGGUGGGCUUCAGGCCCCUGCCAGCACACAGAAAUAUUCAGACAAGCCACAUGCAUCCUCUCGUGGGAAGCAGGCCUCACCUCACCCUCUGUUAUUGGAAAGACUGCCUCCCACAGACCCUGUUUGUUCAUUGUGCUCCCAAAUAGAAUCCCCAUAUGGCCCUGUACAGUAUGCACUGUCCUCCUCCCCUGGACAGUGAGUGUAUAUGACUAAUAAACUGAUGUUUAUUUCAUCUAUCCGGUGCUGGGUGUCAUAUGUUUGACCAUUCCUAUAACCCUAGAGGGCUAGGGAAACCCUCCCUCAACAAUUACCUGAAGAGGAAGUGAUUGAAAUACAUGGCUCUAGCAAAUAGGUGGUCUUGCAUGAGAUUUUGGGGCAGAAGUAAGAAACAUGGGAGUAGCAAUGUGGAGAGUACAGAGACAGAGGCAUCUGUUCUUCCAGGGGAGCCGUGGAGAAAAUGGUAGUUUUCACCAUGGAAUACUAUGCAGCCAUAAAAAGGAAUGAGAUUGUGUCCUCAGCAGGGACAUGGAUAAAGCUGGAAGCCAUUAUCCUCAGCAAACUAACACAGGAACAGAAAACCAAACACUGCAUGUUCCUGCUUACAAGUGGGAGCUGAAUGAAGAGAACACAUGGACACAGGGAGGGGAAAAACACAUAGUGGGGCCUGUUGAGGGGUGGGAGGGAGAGCAUCAGGAAGAAUAGCUAAUGGAUGCUGGGCUUGAUACCUAGGUGAUGGGUUGAUCUGUGUAGCAAACCACCGUGGCACACAUUUACCUGUGUAACAAACCUGCACAUCCUGCACAUGUACCCAGGAACUUAAAAUAAAAGUUGAGGAUAAAA
RNAcentral lists this long non-coding RNA (8755 nucleotides) under Homo sapiens (human). RNAcentral's name for it is "HSALNT0134792". The record is from RNAcentral. Lineage: Eukaryota; Metazoa; Chordata; Mammalia; Primates; Hominidae.